CAAAUGAAUUGACGGGGACCCGCACAAGCGGUGGAUGAUGUGGAUUAAUUCGAUGCAACGCGAAGAACCUUACUACCCUUGACAUGUCCGGAAGUUGCCAGAGAUGGCUUCGUGCUCGAAAGAGAGCCGUAACACAGGUGCUGCAUGGCUGUCGUCAGCUCGUGUCGUGAGAUGUUGGGUUAAGUCCCGCAACGAGCGCAACCCUUGUCAUUAGUUGCUACGAAAGGGCACUCUAAUGAGACUGCCGGUGACAAACCGGAGGAAGGUGGGGAUGACGUCAAGUCCUCACGGCCCUUAUAGGUGGGGCUACACACGUCAUACAAUGGCUGGUACAAAGGGUUGCCAACCCGCGAGGGGGAGCCAAUCCCAUAAAGCCAGUCGUAGUCCGGAUCGCAGUCUGCAACUCGACUGCGUGAAGUCGGAAUCGCUAGUAAUCGUGGAUCAGCAUGUCACGGUGAAUACGUUCCCGGGUCUU
RNAcentral lists this ribosomal RNA (475 nucleotides) under uncultured Curvibacter sp. RNAcentral describes it as "bacterial SSU rRNA". It matches the Rfam family "Bacterial small subunit ribosomal RNA", at positions 902 to 1382 of the family's 1533-position model. The record is from RNAcentral. Lineage: Bacteria; Pseudomonadati; Pseudomonadota; Betaproteobacteria; Burkholderiales; Comamonadaceae.